UGGCACUCCCUAGUGAGAUGAACCCGGUACCUCAGAUGGAAAAGCAGAAAUCACCCGUCUUCUGCGUCGCUCACGCUGGGAGCUGUAGACCGGAGCUGUUCCUGUUCGGCCAUCUUGGCUCCUCAGAGUGGCUGAUUUUCAAGAGGACAUGAAGAUACAACAAAUGAUUUGAGAGAGCUCUUCAAAUGGCAAACACCUAGCAUGUGGG
RNAcentral lists this long non-coding RNA (208 nucleotides) under Homo sapiens (human). Its description in RNAcentral is "non-protein coding lnc-VCX-6:1". The record is from RNAcentral. Lineage: Eukaryota; Metazoa; Chordata; Mammalia; Primates; Hominidae.